RNA transcript from Musa acuminata AAA Group (dessert banana), 630 nucleotides. It is a transcript of the gene named cx9C motif-containing protein 4, mitochondrial-like, with no coding region annotated. NCBI's taxonomy places the organism in Eukaryota, Viridiplantae, Streptophyta, Magnoliopsida, Zingiberales, Musaceae. The record is from RefSeq and is a predicted model, not a curated record. The transcript has 3 exons.
AGACCGCAGCGGGAGCCAGAGUGAUCUCGUGAUCUCCCUCUCCUCCAUCGGGGAUCGGCGUGGGGAAAUCGAUGGUAGCUGGCUGCGUAGAUCAUCCCGAUCGAUCGCCUGCCUGAUUAGAACAGAGGAAGAAGAAGGCGAGAGGGGAUGGGUUGGUGGUGGGGUGGACAGCAGAAGAACAAAGAACCGUGCAAGAAGGAGGCGUGCGACAUCCAGGCCUGCCUCUCCAAGAACAACUUCAACCCCGAGAGGUGCAUGAAGGUCAUUGGACUGUUGCAACUAUGCUGUGAAAAGUGCAACUAUGACUCAACACAUUGUGCUCCACUUGCUGGACUUCUGAAAACAAAUACCAAGUGACACACUGCAAAUAUUGAACCAUGAAGCUUCAUGAUUACCCAACAGUAAUUUCUCUGAGCUGAAAGAAUGGAGAAAUGGCAGAUUUAGAUGACUUUCUAUGAUGGAGAAAUGGACUACUGACGAUGUAAAACAACUUUUUCUUUUUUGCACGGCAUGUUCACGUCUGCUUUUUUCCCCGGUUUUUUUAGAACUUUAGCUGUAGUAUUUUAAGUUGAAAAUUGUGAGAAAAAAAAUUGAAAUUGCAGAAGAAUAGCAAGAUAAUUUCUGUUUUCA